UUCACAAUUCCAUCAAGGGAAUGAUCACCGAUUCAUCGUUCACCUCUUUUAGAUCUUUCCUCUGCAAAUAUCUGAAACAGGAAUACCACUAAUCCGUGAAGUUUAUAAUUAACGUGAUGUGAGCAAAGUGGUUUAGCAGCGAAUGCUGUGCGAUUGCAUCCGAUGUACGGGUAGUAACCGGAGGUCUUCAGCAACGCAGGCUCAAACAGAGAGAAUAUCGGAUUUUCCUCUGGAGAUAUUCGAGAUGCUUCUUUGACUCGGAAAUAUGACCUGGCAGAUGCUUAUGACCCACACCUUGGCACAGAUGCCAGAAAUAACAUGAGCCAUAAGAUCCAGUCUCAAACCCAGAAAAAACCUCACAAAAGGUGCAGGCAUCCUAAUCUCUACUGGGCCAUUGGAAACCACCCUCCAGUGGGUGGAGGCAAGUUUCUCGGUCUCCUGGUGAAGAUUUAGAGAGGCAGCGUUUUUAAUAUUUUUUUUUUCCCCAUCUGGGGAAAGAAAAUGUAUUACAUUGGACCCUGUUUUCGCUCUCCCACAAGCUGGGCCUCAGAGAAAACUGGCCUGGGGAUUAAUGUGGUUAUCUGUCCUCACAGGGGUGGCAGUGACUAAGUGUUCAUUUGAGAGUCGUGGCUAACCCCCCCCAUCUCUUACUCCCUCAGCCUUCAGGGUCCGCUUCACUUUCGGAGGGUUCUAGAACACAGCCCUUCCUCCUGGAAUUCCUCUUCGCAUUUGGGAGUAGUCUUAGUUCCUGUUUCUGUGAGCAAAUCCAAAUUAAUUCAUCAAGCUGCCUUGUCUGCUCCUCCUUGAAUGUUGAAAAUAUAUCAUAGAGCCUACCAAAGUGACUCCAGUAAGAUCACCACCAACU
This is a long non-coding RNA of Conger conger (European conger), 865 nucleotides long. RefSeq lists it as uncharacterized. Lineage: Eukaryota; Metazoa; Chordata; Actinopteri; Anguilliformes; Congridae. The record is from RefSeq and is a predicted model, not a curated record. The transcript has 3 exons.